RNAcentral lists this ribosomal RNA (1349 nucleotides) under uncultured bacterium. RNAcentral describes it as "bacterial SSU rRNA". It matches the Rfam family "Bacterial small subunit ribosomal RNA", at positions 28 to 1380 of the family's 1533-position model. The record is from RNAcentral.
GACGAACGUUUGCGGCGUGCUUAACACAUGCAAGUCGAACGGAAAGGCCCUGCUUUUGUGGGGUGCUCGAGUGGCGAACGGGUGAGUAACACGUGAGUAACCUGCCCUUGACUUUGGGAUAACUUCAGGAAACUGGGGCUAAUACCGGAUAGGAGCUCCUGCUGCAUGGUGGGGGUUGGAAAGUUUCGGCGGUUGGGGAUGGACUCGCGGCUUAUCAGCUUGUUGGUGGGGUAGUGGCUUACCAAGGCUUUGACGGGUAGCCGGCCUGAGAGGGUGACCGGCCACAUUGGGACUGAGAUACGGCCCAGACUCCUACGGGAGGCAGCAGUGGGGAAUAUUGCACAAUGGGCGGAAGCCUGAUGCAGCAACGCCGCGUGCGGGAUGACGGCCUUCGGGUUGUAAACCGCUUUCGCCUGUGACGAAGCGUGAGUGACGGUAAUGGGUAAAGAAGCACCGGCUAACUACGUGCCAGCAGCCGCGGUGAUACGUAGGGUGCGAGCGUUGUCCGGAUUUAUUGGGCGUAAAGGGCUCGUAGGUGGUUGAUCGCGUCGGAAGUGUAAUCUUGGGGCUUAACCCUGAGCGUGCUUUCGAUACGGGUUGACUUGAGGAAGGUAGGGGAGAAUGGAAUUCCUGGUGGAGCGGUGGAAUGCGCAGAUAUCAGGAGGAACACCAGUGGCGAAGGCGGUUCUCUGGGCCUUUCCUGACGCUGAGGAGCGAAAGCGUGGGGAGCGAACAGGCUUAGAUACCCUGGUAGUCCACGCUGUAAACGGUGGGUACUAGGUGUGGGGUCCAUUCCACGGGUUCCGUACCGUAGCUAACGCUUUAAGUACCCCGCCUGGGGAGUACGGCCGCAAGGCUAAAACUCAAAGGAAUUGACGGGGCCCCGCACAAGCGGCGGAGCAUGCGGAUUAAUUCGAUGCACCGCGUAAAAACCUUACCGGGGUUUGACAUGAAUCGGGAGUGCUCAAAGGGGGGGGUGCCCCUUUUGGGGCCGGUCCCCAGGUGGCGCAUGGCUGUCGCCAGCCCGUGUCCGGAGAAGUUGGGGUAAGUCCCGCAACGAGCCCAACCCUUGUUCACUGUUGCCAGCACGUAUGGAGGCGACUCAAGGAAAACCGCCGGGGACAACUCGGAGGAAGGGGGGAAGAACUCCAAGUCAUCAUGCCCCUUAAGGCCAGGGCUUUCACCCAAGCCACCAUGGCCGGGAACAAGGACGGCCACCCUGAGAGGGCGAACCGAUCCCGGAAAGCCCGACACACGUCCGAAUGGGGGCCAGCAACUCCCCCCCCAGAAGCCGGAGACCCCUAGUAAAGCCCAAUCACCACCACUGCGGGGAAUACCGCCCCCGGGGC